UUGGGGUAUGCGCAAAAACUUGAAUUACAGGUUUAUGAUCUUUUGGGUUUGGAAAGAGAGAAUAAAUUAAAAAAAAAUUAUUUUCUUCUCAAUCUUUCUUUUACCUCUUCAUCUCCUCUAGAAGUUUAUCUUCAAUCUCUAGAAAGAUUUUAGAGAUUUAAAGGAAAGAUCCAGAUCAACCAAGAAGAAGGUCUUCGCGCAAGCUAGCACUCUUGAGAAGA
RNAcentral lists this long non-coding RNA (221 nucleotides) under Elaeis guineensis (African oil palm). RNAcentral's name for it is "long non-coding RNA (EGUI_LNC042165)". The record is from RNAcentral. Lineage: Eukaryota; Viridiplantae; Streptophyta; Magnoliopsida; Arecales; Arecaceae.